This 366-nucleotide ribosomal RNA is filed under the name uncultured eukaryote. RNAcentral's name for it is "partial 18S ribosomal RNA". It matches the Rfam family "Eukaryotic small subunit ribosomal RNA", at positions 592 to 976 of the family's 1831-position model. The record is from RNAcentral.
CAAUAGCGUAUAUUAAAGUUGUUGCAGUUAAAAAGCUCGUAGUUGAAUUUCUGGCGGGCGCGCCGGUCUUCCAAGUGUUGUACUGGGCGCAGUCCGCCAUCCUUGUGGAGAGGGCUCGCAUUGAGUUGCGUGUCGGAUCUGCAUCAUUUACUGUGAAAAAAUUAGAGUGUUUAAAGCAGGCUGUCGCUUGGAUACAUUAGCAUGGAAUAAUAAGAUAGGACUUCGGUCUAUUUUGUUGGUUGCGAACCGAGGUAAUGAUUAAUAGGGAUAGUUGGGGGUAUUUAUAUUUAAUUGUCAGAGGUGAAAUUCUUGGAUUUAUGAAAGAUGAACAACUGCGAAAGCAUUUACCAAGGAUGUUUUCAUUAA